This 484-nucleotide ribosomal RNA is filed under the name uncultured bacterium. RNAcentral's name for it is "partial 16S ribosomal RNA". It matches the Rfam family "Bacterial small subunit ribosomal RNA", at positions 29 to 507 of the family's 1533-position model. The record is from RNAcentral.
AUUGAACGCUGGCGGCAUGCCUUACACAUGCAAGUCGAACGGCAGCGCGGACUUUGGUCUGGCGGCGCGUGGCGAACGGGGGAGUAAUACACCGGAACGUACCCUGUUGUAGUGGAUGACAAGUCGAAAGAAUAGCUACUACUACAUACUAGGUGAGGGUGAAGGUGGGGGACCGGGAAAGUUCACCCGGGAGGGACGGCCGAUGUGCGAUUAGCCGGUUGGUGGGGUAAAGGCCCAACAAGGCGGCCAUCAGUAGCCAGUCGGAGAGGACGAUCAGCCACACUGGGACUGAGACCCGGCCCAGACUCCUACGGGAGGCAGCAGUGGGGAAGUUUGGACAAUGGGGGCAACCUUGAUCCAGCAAUGCCGCGUGUGUGAAGAAGGCCUUCGGGUUGUAAAGCACUUUUGUCCGGAAAGAAAUCGCGCUGGUUAAUACCUGGCGUGGAUGACGGUACCGGAAGAAUAAGCACCGGCUAACUACGUG